AUUAUAUAAGUUCUGGAAACAAUUUUAUCCAUGUAAAGAAAGCUUUAGCAUUUUUCAAUAUAAAGUUAUCAAAGCAUUUUCUAAUUGUUCUAUGCAAAGAGGGGAAAUAUAUGAAGCUUAUGAAGUUUGCAUUUGUUAUGAUCCUAUUUCUUUCCUUAUUUUUUGUUGAAGCGAGAUAUUUUGAAUGUAAUGAUGACCCAACAUGUGAAAAAAAAAUUAAGUGUAAACCUUCUACGACUCCACAAUGUAGAAAUCACCAAUGUAUUUGUUCUUCUCCAAAUAAACCCAAAAAUUAUUGGAAUCCAGACAUGGUAAAAGCCCGGUGAAUAAAUGAUAAAAGAUUAUGUGAGUAAGCGACCAAGGAAAGUCUAAGGAUAGAAUUAUUUCUUCUGAUGGCCAAAAAUCUAAGAAGUACUAUUUAUGAUAAAAUAUUCUAUAAUAUGUCAUUUAAUUAUGUUAAUUAUUAUGUUGGCACCAAAUAAUUGAAUUUUUUUAUUUUUAUUUUUCAUUCCUAAUUUCAUAGACUAUGUAACUAUGGCUUUGUACUUUAAGAUGAUGGUAAGGAAAUGAAAUAAAGUAGCCAAUGAUAUUAUUUAAAUUGA
Trifolium pratense (red clover) is the source of this 602-nucleotide long non-coding RNA. RefSeq lists it as uncharacterized. NCBI's taxonomy places the organism in Eukaryota, Viridiplantae, Streptophyta, Magnoliopsida, Fabales, Fabaceae. The transcript has 2 exons. The record is from RefSeq and is a predicted model, not a curated record.